AACUUUUGACAAUGGAUCUCUUGGCUCUUGCAACGAUGAAGAACGCAGUGAAAUGCGAAAAGUAAUGCGAUUUGCAUGAAUCUGUGAGUCAUCAAGUCUUUGAACGCACCUUGCACCGUAUGAGCAAUUGUACGGUAUACCUGUUUGAGAAUCGUAAAACCCUAUCCCUACACCCUAGUGGUGCGGGGGAGUUGUCGGGUGUGCUGGUGCAAACCGGUACUCUGACUAAAAGGAUUAGGUCCUUGCCGGGCUGGUGGUCCGGGACAUUGUGUGCUAGAGACGUUUGCUUCGGCUGACUGUCUUCUCACAAUGCGUCCCGGGCUGUUAAGCUGGUCUGGCGUGGGACCUCUCAGUAGUCCUUUCUCCUUCACGGGGGAAAGGCUACAACCCCCCUUUUUGAUCUCAAAUCAGGUAAGGCUACCCGCUGAACUUAAGCAUAUCAAUAAGCGGAGGC
This 454-nucleotide unclassified non-coding RNA is filed under the name uncultured fungus. RNAcentral's name for it is "sequence contains ITS2". The stretch from base 1 to 154 matches the Rfam family "5.8S ribosomal RNA". The record is from RNAcentral. Lineage: Eukaryota; Fungi.